GAUGAAGAACGUAGCGAAAUGCGAUAAGUAGUGUGAAUUGCAGAAUUCAGUGAAUCAUCGAAUCUUUGAACGCACAUUGCGGCCAUAGGUAUUCCUUUGGCCAUGCCUGUUCGAGCGUCAUUUACACCCUCAAGCCUAGCUUGGUGUUGGGCGUCUGUCCCGCCGUUUUCGCGCGCGGACUCGCCUCAAAGUCAUUGGCGGCGGUCGUGCCGGCCCCCUCGCGCAGCACAUUUGCGCUUCUCGGAGGCCCGGCGGAUCCGCGCUCCCGCAAGACCUUUCACGACUUGACCUCGGAUCAGGUAGGGAUACCCGCUGAACUUAAGCAUAUCAAUAAGCGGAGGA
This 342-nucleotide unclassified non-coding RNA is filed under the name soil metagenome. Its description in RNAcentral is "partial contains 5.8S ribosomal RNA, internal transcribed spacer 2, and large subunit ribosomal RNA". The stretch from base 1 to 120 matches the Rfam family "5.8S ribosomal RNA", at positions 35 to 154 of the family's 154-position model. The record is from RNAcentral.